CAACCGAAAACGUGGUAUAAUAUUUAAGCUUGUCUUUGGGAAAGUCCAGUGCAAUUCUGGUACUGUGCCGCAGCUGUAAUCAAGUAAAAAGUAAAAAGAGUACAUCUUCCCUUUUUCCUUGCGAGUCAGAAUGCCAAUUACAAGUUUUUAAUCGGU
This 156-nucleotide non-coding RNA is filed under the name Microcystis aeruginosa. Lineage: Bacteria; Bacillati; Cyanobacteriota; Cyanophyceae; Chroococcales; Microcystaceae. The record is from RNAcentral.